GAUGAACGCUGGCGGCGUGCUUAACACAUGCAAGUCGAACGGAAAGGCCACAGCUUGCUGUGGUACUCGAGUGGCGAACGGGUGAGUAACACGUGGGUGAUCUGCCCUGUACUUCGGGAUAAGCUUGGGAAACUGGGUCUAAUACCGGAUAGGAAUCACAUGUGGGUGUGUGGUUGGAAAGCUUUUGCGGUAUGGGAUGAGCUCGCGGCCUAUCAGCUUGUUGGUGGGGUAAUGGCCUACCAAGGCGUCGACGGGUAGCCGGCCUGAGAGGGUGUACGGCCACAUUGGGACUGAGAUACGGCCCAGACUCCUACGGGAGGCAGCGGUAGGGAAUAUUGCACAAUGGGCGCAAGCCUGAUGCAGCGACGCCGCGUGGGGGAUGACGGCCUUCGGGUUGUAAACUCCUUUCGUCAGGGACGAAGCGAAAGUGACGGUACCUGGAUAAGAAGCACCGGCUAACUACGUG
This 466-nucleotide ribosomal RNA is filed under the name uncultured bacterium. RNAcentral's name for it is "partial 16S ribosomal RNA". It matches the Rfam family "Bacterial small subunit ribosomal RNA", at positions 28 to 507 of the family's 1533-position model. The record is from RNAcentral.